GGCAGUCAGAGGCGAUGAAGGGCGUACUAAUCUGCGAUAAGCGCCGGUAAGGUGAUAUGAACCGUUAUAACCGGCGAUACCCGAAUGGGGAAACCCAGUGUGAUUCGUCACACUAUCAUUAACUGAAUCCAUAGGUUAAUGAGGCGAACCGGGGGAACUGAAACAUCUAAGUACCCCGAGGAAAAGAAAUCAACCGAGAUUCCCCCAGUAGCGGCGAGCGAACGGGGAGGAGCCCAGAGCCUGAAUCAGCAUGUGUGUUAGUGGAAGCGUCUGGAAAGGCGCGCGAUACAGGGUGACAGCCCCGUACACAAAAGCGCAUGUGCUGUGAGCUCGAUGAGUAGGGCGGGACACGUGGUAUCCUGUCUGAAUAUGGGGGGACCAUCCUCCAAGGCUAAAUACUCCUGACUGACCGAUAGUGAACCAGUACCGUGAGGGAAAGGCGAAAAGAACCCCGGCGAGGGGAGUGAAAAAGAACCUGAAACCGUGU
Molecule: ribosomal RNA, 487 nt
Filed under: Salmonella enterica subsp. enterica serovar Enteritidis
Lineage: Bacteria; Pseudomonadati; Pseudomonadota; Gammaproteobacteria; Enterobacterales; Enterobacteriaceae
Description: partial 23S ribosomal RNA
Rfam family: Bacterial large subunit ribosomal RNA
Source: RNAcentral